Molecule: ribosomal RNA, 414 nt
Filed under: uncultured bacterium
Lineage: Bacteria
Description: partial 16S ribosomal RNA
Rfam family: Bacterial small subunit ribosomal RNA
Source: RNAcentral
CCUACGGGAGGCAACUCUGACCCAGCAACGCCGCGUGAAUGAUGAAGGUCUUCGGAUUGUAAAGUUCUUUUCUAAGGGAAGAAGAAAGUGACGGUACCUUAGGAAUAAGCCUCGGCUAACUACGUGCCAGCAGCCGCGGUAAUACGUAGGAGGCAAGCGUUAUCCGGAAUGACUGGGCGUAAAGGGUGCGUAGGUGGUUUGACAAGUUAGUAGCGCAACUCCGGAGCUCAACUUCGGAACUACUACUAAAACUGUUGGACUUGAGUGCAGGAGGGGCAAUCGGAAUUCCUAGUGUAGCGGUGGAAUGCGUAGAUAUUAGGAGGAACACCAGUGGCGAAAGCGGCUCUCUGGUCUGUAACUGACGCUGAGGUUCGAAAGCGUGGGUAGCAAACAGGAUUAAAUACCCCUGUAGUC